UACGAAGGGGGCUAGCGUUGCUCGGAAUCACUGGGCGUAAAGGGUGCGUAGCGGGUCUUUAAGUCAGGGGUGAAAUCCUGGAGCUCAACUCCAGAACUGCCUUUGAUACUGAGGAUCUUGAGUUCGGGAGAGGUGAGUGGAACUGCGAGUGUAGAGGUGAAAUUCGUAGAUAUUCGCAAGAACACCAGUGGCGAAGGCGGCUCACUGGCCCGAUACUGACGCUGAGGCACGAAAGCGUGGGGAGCAAACAGGG
This 253-nucleotide ribosomal RNA is filed under the name uncultured bacterium. RNAcentral's name for it is "partial 16S ribosomal RNA". It matches the Rfam family "Bacterial small subunit ribosomal RNA", at positions 524 to 777 of the family's 1533-position model. The record is from RNAcentral.